AAACCCUGGCCUGUUUCUUUUUCUUCCUCGUCUGGCUAGGACUCUAACCGAGCCGCACCACCUCUCUCCCACGAUGGUUCCUGGGUUUCUCUCCCGGCCUUCCUUUUCACUUGCCUUAGCUUGUUUUAGACGCCAACCAAACGAAAUAGCGUCUUUUCAACGCCAAAUUGCCCAACACUAUAAAAACCGUUCCCUUUACUCACAAAAUCUUAGAUCUCAGAUUUCAGAUAUCAAAUCUCAGAUCGUUUCUUACUCUCUUUGAAGAAAUUGUGUUGCGAUGGCUGAUUUUCGUCUUCAAGACCUUUGUCAACCUCAACUCACACAAAUCGCUGCUGAAAAUACCAAAGCAGUUGCAGAAGAAUACUUUAAGUUGGGAAAUAUCAACAAGGCCAUCCAAUAAGGAUUCGCAGCACUUGAUUUGAACCCUGAGUUACGAAUGGUCCAAAAAUGCACUGCAGCUUAUCUUGUUCACAAGUUUGAUUUGAUGCUAUGCUUUUGCCAGAAGAUGAAGAUGGACGAUACUGAAGUCCUAUAUUCGAUUCUUUUUAUCGAAGAUUGUUCUGCCGUAGUUGAUGCUGCGACUAUUAGAAAACACUACAAGGAAGUGGUACUAUUGGUCCAUCCGGACAAGAAUGAUUCAGUUGCAGCAGAUGGUGCUUUCAAGAUCGUUCGUCAGGCUUGGGAAACUCUCUUAUCUGAUCACAAAAAAAGAAGAAAGACUCGAUGAGGAUGAAGUUUUUUGGUUUGGAUUAGAUUCAUUUUGAAUGUAUUCAAAUUUUUUUAUGAAUAAUAUGUAGUUAGUUUUUAUUUUGUUCUGAUUUUGUUACUUUUUUUAGAUUCAAUUUGAUUUUGAUUUUUAGUGUCAGUCCAAUUUCAUAAUUGAUCACAAUUAUGAUUAAGCAUUCCAAGUUGAAAUGCUACCAUCAUCAAUCCAUAAUAUAAUAUACAGAGUAAAUUGAAGCAAAUUAUUUGAAGAAUAUUCUGUUGUGGGUUUUUUUAGGGGUGAUAGUUUGUUGAUUAUUCAUUAUCUCAAUGUCAAUUCUUUUUUUUUUGGCNAUACAUCAUUAUAUUUCUUUUUCUGUAACUAAUUUAUAACAAUAAUAAUCUUAAAAAUUAUUAAAAUUAAUAAACAAUUCUUGAUUCUACUAAUUUAAAUUUUUUAUACAAAACUUUUAACAUCAAUUGUUCAUAAAAUUUACAAAUCUGUCGUGUAUAGUCUGUAUUUUUCUAAUUUUAUAAAUGAAAAUAAAAAACUACAAAAGUAGUAUGUUAUAACGAUUAAAUACCUUUAAUUAUAAUUAUUCUCAAUCAUAAUUUCUUAUUGCAAUGAAUACCAAAUUGAAUUUUGGUUCAAGAAAGAUAAGAUGCAUUUUGAGUAGAAAUUUUAAAUUCAAAUCAUAGAGUUCAUCACGUGAAAAAGAAAAAAAAAAUUUUUUGAAUAAUUUUGAGAGAAAAUGACGUCGUUUGUUGUUAGUCACUUGAAAUGAGUGAAAUGACGUCGUUCCUUCUUAAUGCUUAUUUCCCUCCUGCCACACGGUGUCGUUUUAGCAAGUGAUAAAACCAUCCCUUGAAACCCUGGCCUGUUUCUUUUUCUUCCUCGUCUGGCUAGGACUCUAACCGAGCCGCACCACCUCUCUCCCACGAUGGUUCCUGGGUUUCUCUCUCGACCGUCCUUUUCACUUGCCUUAGCUUGUUUUAGACGCCAACCAAACGAAAUAGCGUCUUUUCAACGCCAAAUUGCCCAACACUAUAAAAACCGUUCCCUUUACUCACAAAAUCUUAGAUCUCAGAUUUCAGAUAUCAAAUCUCAGAUCGUUUCUUACUCUCUUUGAAGAAAUUGUGUUGCGAUGGCUGAUUUUCGUCUCCAAGGUCUUUGUCAAUCUCAAUUCACAGAGAUUGCUGCUGAAAGAGCUAAAGUAGCUGCAGAGGAAUAUUUCAAGUCGGGAAACAUCGACAGAGCUAUUCAGCAAGGGUUCGCAGCACUCGAUUUGAACCCCAAUUUACGGAUCGUGCAGAAGUACAUUGCCGCCUAUUUGAUUCACAAGUUUGCUUCUAUGUUAAGUCUUUGCCAGAAAAUGAAGGUAGACGAUACCAAAGUUCUGUACUCCAUUCUUUUUAUCGAAGAUUGUUCUGCCGUAGUUGAUGCUGCGACUAUUAGAAAACACUACAAGGAAGUGGUACUAUUGGUCCAUCCGGACAAGAAUGAUUCAGUUGCAGCAGAUGGUGCUUUCAAGAUCGUUCGUCAGGCUUGGGAAACUCUCUUAUCUGAUCGCAACAAAAGAAGAAAGACUCGAUGAGGAUGAAGUUUUUUGGUUUGGAUUAGAUUCAUUUUGAUAUGUAUUCAAAUUUUUUAUGAAUAACAUGUAGUUAGUUUUUAUUUUGUUCUGAUUUGGUUACUUUGUUGAGAUUCAAUUUGAUUUUGAUUUUUAGUGUCAGUCCAAUUUCAUAAUUGAUCACAAUUAUGAUUAAGCAUUCCAAGUUAAAAUGCUACCAUCAUCAAUCCAUAAUAUAAUAUACAGAGUAAAUUGAAGCAAAUUAUUUGAAGAAUAUUCUGAUGUGGGUUUUUUAGGCAAUGAACGUUUUCUUUAAGCUUUCAGAUUUUAUUUUGUUAAAAUAAAUUUCUUUGUGUUAUAUAUUUUGUAAGUCUCUUUCGUUAGCUUGAAAUUGAAUUCUGGGUUCAAGAGGUUAUUGUAUUAAGUAACUAUGUGUUUUGCUUGCUUCAGUGUUUGUAUCGGUGCUGCAGUUAUUCACUUUCCUUCUGAUUUGAUACAAUCAAACUAAAAAAAAGAAGGAAAAAAAUUUUUUUUCACAAAAGUUACUAUAAUAUUUUUCUUUUUAUGGGUGAUAGUUUGUUGAUUAUUCAUUAUUUCAGUGUCAAUUCUUUAUUUUUGGCUUAAGUUAAACAGGCAUUGAAAAACCAAUACUUGCUUGCAAAAGAAGAACCAUAUCAGUUCUACGUGCCUUUUGAUUCUUCAAUUGUUAUCAAAUGCUUGCUCAUGUUGUCCAGAUGUUCCCAAAUGAUGUUUCCUUGGGCGAUAUCAUUGACGCUGCAAAGUCUUUCAGGUUUGUUAUUCGGUUUUUCUCACUUAGAGGUUGAAUCACAAUUUAUCAUAUGUUUAUUUUUGCAUAAGUGUGCAUGUGUAGUAGUAUAAGGCUGUUAAAGGGAAUAUAAUUUGUCAGUUUUUAUACAUAGCAAACCCUAAGUGUGAUUUCUUGGAAAAGCAGAAGUCCAAUAAUGGACUAUACACGUUCCUCUUUUAUCAUUACUCAUAUCUUAGCCUAAAUUACUCUUGUUGUUUCUGUGCUAAAAGUAAUGCUGCUAAUAUCUAGUUCUGGCCAACUUUUGCUGAGCUGUUUGCAAUAAUUGUUGUAUACGCAUUUAUGUAAAGGUACAUUUUUUCUUGGGCCUUAAUUCACUUACCAUGUAGUUCUCUCCUGAAUCAUGUUUCUGUCCCAUUUAUAAAUGUUAGGCUAUGAUUUGAAUUGCCUUGUUAAGGAAGCAUUAUCUAUUGAAAUGUUGCUGGCAGCUAUCCUCUAACUUAAGGGUGCAGGAGACACGGUCUUCAUUGGAGUGGUUUGUGGGAAAAGUACAAGACAUGAUUAUCUAAAUACUUUGAGACGAUCUAUAGUGAAGGGUUCAAAUGAAUCAAGGUGAGAGGUUUAAAGAAGCUGAUCAGUUUUGCACUUCAUUGCCUUUGUCAUAUAAAAGUUUUAAUCUCUAUUCACCCACCAAAAAGGAGGAAUAGGAAAGAGAAUUGCAAAAGUGGAAGCUUUUUUACAUUUGCAUAAUGCCUGAUGCAGGCAUACGUUUAAGUACUUAGAGAGAGAUGAGACAAUGGUAGCUCACUUGGUGGGGGAAUUGAUGCAUUCAUAAAGCUGUCUCAAAGUUAGCUGCUAUCAAAAUCUCUAUUCAAUGUUGUAUAUACUUUCUAAAAUUUGAAGUCUAUGUUCCAAAUUCUGAGGAAAUCAUUGGUAGAGAUAUCACCGGGAUCGGAUCUCGGUACAAUAUACAUCUCAACACCUGUGGAGAAAUGUUAGUUAUGUUUCUGUUAGUAGCUUUUGUACUAGUGUAAUUUUUAUUACAAAAAUCAGUCAUGUAGGGUGCCUAGUGAUUUGAUUAUGAUAAUUGAUUUCCACGGUAAGAUGUACAAGUUUGGGUACUCCAGGACCAGAUCUCCAUUGCAGUGAUGUGGAAAGUUCAAGGAAAACGUUGUCAAGGGUCAUAAAUAUUGUGAAAGAAUUAACUCUAGCAUUUGUUUUUAAUUUACACUAGAUCUUCUGUCUGCUCGUGAGUAACGGGUUUUGCUUGUUUUCAUGACUUUUUCUUUAAAUUUAUCAUCACUAUUCACAAUGAUAUAUAUGAAUGAUAAUUAAAGAUAUAUUAAAAGAUAAUGACAAGAAAGUAUUGAGUUGUUCAGCUUUAAUUAUUUGGCACAGGCAAUGAGUCAAUGAGGGCAAAUGCUAUUGGCAGUUGUGUUGUGCUCAACCAUGGAGGAGGUUGCGCGGUAGACAAGAUGCUCAUGGAGUUUGCUUCACCGUCAAUAAUCCAUAUGAUACUUCUAUUUGUUGUUAUCCUCGUUAAUUCAUUUUUAAUUUUAUUAUUAUUUAUCUUUUUAAAAAUUGAUUUUACUAGAAUUCUGAUCAAUUUUGCUUUUCUAAUUUAAAUACUGUCUUUUAUGGUUUCUUUAUGCCUUGUAUAUUGGUGCACAGUAUGAUGCAUUUAACUUGAUAUACAUAAGAUGCACAAUAUGAUACAUUUAAUUUGAUAUUGCAUUACAGGUAGAAGACUUUAGGCAGCAGGGAACUAAGAUGAGAAGAAAGAUGUGGCUUCAGAAUAUGAAGAUAAAAUUGAUUGUUUUGGGUAUCCUUAUUGCCCUGAUUCUUAUCAUUGUGCUGUCAGUCUGCCACGGCUUCAAAUGUUAAUCUGUCUUGGAUUUCCCUCGUACCGCUCUUGCUGCCAGGGAUGUCUUGAUAGAUUGGUUUGUCUUACUUGUUUUUUUAGGGCAUAUAUUUCUCCCUUUGCUUGCGGUUUAGGAUAGGGGGAGGCUUUGUAUCUUGGUUGGCUGUAUAGGUUAUAGUUUGAACUUGUUACGGUAGAUAAAAAUUUCUAUGGAGGAUUUCUUCUUUAUACUGUGAUGGGGGUAUACUCGGAUUCCUGCAUAUCAUAUUUGUCCUUUUGAAAUGUUAUUAAUCUGUUUUUUUGGUUUUUGUCGCUUAUCAUGUAAAUCCUUUUGUAUGCAUUUCUCUUUUAGACGUAAGAGGAGACAGUUGGUUUUGUAAAAUUUUUUAAUGCUUAGGAGCCUAUGGUUGCAUGAGUAGCUCGGUGUCUUUGCCUUCCGCAGAGAAGGUCUUCAGCUCUAAUGAUUAGAGCGAUGUGUAUGAUUGAUUUUCCCCGCUCCCCUUGAAGUCUUGUUUUGAGGAUCUAUUCUUUCUCCAGAGAGAAAUUUGGGGAAUAAGUAAAGAAUUUUGAUGAAGGGUUGUUUUGUCAAAAAAUAAAAAACUAGUUUGACUACGAAACAAAUCGAAUUUUAUACGGUAGUUGGUUCUUUUUCGAUUUUACAUUAUUCCAAUAAAAGGAGUUAGCAUAUUUUUGCUUGAAAACAAUCCAAUUUGAGUUUCUAACCUUAAAUCGAGUUUGAGCAAUGAAAAUUAAUGUCUACAUGAACAGAUUAUAAUAUGUGAACAACUGUAGCAAUGAUGUGUUUUGUGCAUAAUAUGUUGAGAUUAGAUCCCACUAUUAGAAAAACUAAUGUCUAACUCAAAUUUUAACAUUUUGAAAUUCUUUCAAUAUUAAAUACUUGAAAACCUUAUGUCCGUUGUUGGCUGGAUCGUCUUUGUCCCAUUAUCCUCUCUAACCCAUCCUUUUUACGUGUUUUAAAAUUAUAAAUAAUAUAUAUAUAUAUAUUUAUAUAUUGUAAAACAAAAAAAUUAUAAUAAUUAAUAUUUUAUAAAUGAAAAUAAAAGAUUACAAAAGUAAUCUGUUAUAACAAUUAAAUAUCUUUAAUUAUAAUUAUUCUCAAUCAUAAUUUCUUAUUGCAGUCAAUACCCAAUUGAAUUUUGGUUCAAGUAAGAAAGAUAAGAUGCAUUUUGAAUAGAAAUUUUAAAUUCAAAUCAUAGAGAUCAUCACGAAAAAAAGAAAAAAAUAAAAAUUUCGUAUAGUUUACAGAGAAAUCCCAGCAAAGAAUAUGACGUCGUUUAUUUUUAAUCACUUGCAAUGAGUGAAAUGACGUCGUUUCCUUCUUGAAGCUUAUUUCUCUCCUACCACACGGUGUCGUUUUAUCAAGUGAUAAAAGCAUCCCUUGAAACCUCAGCCUGCUUCUUUUUCCCCGCUUGUCUGGCUAGGACUCUUACCGAGCCGCACCACCUCUCUUCCACGAUGGUUCCUGGGUUUCUCUCCCGGCCUUCCGUUCUCGAGCCGCAACUCCUGAUCACUUGCUUUAGCUUACUUUAGACGCUAACCAAACAAGAUAGCUUUUUUUCAACGCCAAAUUGCCCAACACUCUAAAAACCGUUCCCUUAUCUCACAAAUCUUAGAUCUCAGAUUUCAGAUAUCAAAUAUCAGAUCGUUUCUUACUUUCCUUGAAGAAAUUGUGUUGUGAUGGCCGAUUUUCGUCUUCAAGGUAUUUGUCAAUCUCAAUUCACAGAGAUUGCUGCUGAAAGAGCUAAAGUAGCUGCGGAAGAAUAUUUCAAGUUGGGAAACAUCGACAGGGCUAUUCAGCAAGGGUUCGCAGCACUCGAUUUGAACCCCAAUUUACGGAUCGUGCAGAAGUACAUUGCCGCCUAUUUGAUUCACAAGUUUGCUUCUAUGUUAAGUCUUUGCCAGAAAAUGAAGGUAGACGAUACCAAAGUUCUGUACUCCAUUCUUUUUAUCGAAGAUUGUUCUGCCGUAGUUGAUGCUGCGACUAUUAGAAAACACUACAAAGAAGUGGUACUAUUGGUCCAUCCGGACAAGAAUGAUUCAGUUGCAGCAGAUGGUGCUUUCAAGAUCGUUCGUCAGGCUUGGGAAACUCUCUUAUCUGAUCACAACAAAAGAAGAAAGACUCUACGAAGAUGAAGUUCUUUGGUUUGGAUUAGAUUCAUUUUGAUAUGUAUUCAAAUUUUUUAUGAAUAAUAUGUAGUUAGUUUUUAUUUUGUUCUGAUUUUGUUACUUUUCUUAGAUUCAAUUUGAUUUGAUUUUUAGUGUCAGUCCAAUUUCAUAAUUAAUCACAAUUAUGAUUAAGCAUUCCAAGUUAAAAUGCUACCAUCAUCAAUCCAUAAUAUAAUAUACAGAGUAAAUUGAAGCAAAUUAUUUGAAGAACAUUCUGAUGUGGAUUUUUUAGGCAAUGAACAUUUUUUUAAGUUUUUAGAAUUUUUUUGGUUAAUUUUGUUAAAAUAAAUUGCUUUGUGUUAUAUAUUUUGUAAGUCUUUUUUGUUAGUUUGAAAUUGAAUUCUGGGUUCAAUAUGUUAUUGUAUUAAGAAACUAUGUGUUUUGCUUGCUUUAGUGUUUGUAUCGGUGCUGCAGUUGUUCACUUUCCAUACAAUCAAAUUAAAAAAAAAAGGGAAAAAAAUCAAAAUUUUCACAAAAGUUACCGUAAUAUAUUUCUUUUUAGGGGUGAUAGUUUGUUGAUUAUUCAUUAUUUCAAUGUCAAUUCUUUUUUUUUUUGGCUCAAGUUAAACAGGCAUUGAAAAACCAAUACUUGCUUGCAAAAGAAGAACCAUAUUGGUUCUAUGUGUCUUUUGAUUCUUCAAUUGUUAUCAAUUGCUUGCUCAUUUGUCCAGAUGUUCCCAAAUGAUGUUUACUUAGGCGAAAUCAUUGAUGCUGUAAAGUCUUUCAGGUUUGUUAUUCGGUUUUUCUCACUCAGAGGUUGAAUCACAAUUUAUCAUAUGUUUAUUUUGGCAUAAGUGUGCAUGUGUAGUGGUAAUAAGGCUGCUAAAGGGAAUAUAAUUUGUCAGUUUUUAUACAUAGCAAACCCUAAGUGUGAUUUCCUGGAAAAGCAGAAGUCCAAGAAUGGACUAUACACUUUCCUCUUUAUCUUUACUCAUAUCUUAGUGUUUUACUUUCCAAAAUGAAAGUUACCUCCAUCUCAACCUUACUGCUAUCUGCCCUAAAGACAACCUUACAUCCCAUUCAUAUCCAUUUAUUCAUCAAUUUAUGGUCGCAUCACAUGAUUUAUCUAUUAGCAACCAAUAUUCUUCUUUCAGACUUUCAGUCAAAGUUCUUAUUGACAGGAAGAGGUUUAACCUGAAACAGCAACCUGCCUGGCCUUCUUUUGGCUCAUUUGAACCUUUAACCUGUUUUCCUGGGCAGUCACCAUUGAUUAUAAGCCUAAAUUACUCUUGUUGUUUCUGUGCUAAAAGUAAUGCUGCUAAUGUCUAGUUCUGGCCAACUUUUGCUGAGCUGUUUGCAAUAAUUGUCGUAUACACAUUUAUGUAAAGGUACAUUUUUUCUUGGGCCUUAAUUCGCAUACCACGUAGUUCUCUCCUGAAUCAUUUUUUUGUCCCAUUUGUAAAUGUUAGGCUAUGAUUUGAAUUGCCUUGUUAAGGAGGCAUUAUCUAUUGAAAUGUUGCUGGCAGCUAUCCUCUAACUUAAGGGUGCAGGAGACACGGUCUUCAUUGGAGUGGUUGUGUUGGUUUAUCUGAAUCUUUACUGCAUAAGUGUCUGGUGAAAUGAAUCAAUAAAAAGAAGCAAAAUCAUUAAGGGGAUUUUUAGUGUGAAUGUGUAACUUAGGGGUGAUAAUGUUUUAUUUUUUCCUGUUUAAAUGAGAUGAUAAUGUUUUAUUUGAAUGUAUAUAGCAUGAAUCAGAAAAGUUGCGAUAAUGAGGGAUAUUGUAUCGUUUGAGGGUGGUGGUUGUCGGUUAUUUUGAUAGACAAAUGGAGGUAAUAUUUGGAUUCGGGUGCAUUAAUGAGAUGACUCUAAAAAUUAUGAGGUUAAUGUAGCAUAAGGUUCACAUAAUUUAUAAUGCCAUAAUCAUAAAUAAGCCCUUCACAUGUGAUAAAAUCCUCACUUAAGCCCUUAUUGUUUUGUUUGCGUCAAUUGAGUCCCCAACCUAUUAUUUUGAUGUCAAAUGAAUCCAAUUUGAAUGGGAAAUGCUGACAUCGCUAAAGGUGUGACUUAUUCCAACAUACAUGAGUUAAUUGGGGACAUUUGAAAUGUCAGCAUUUCCAUCUAAAUUGGAUUCAGUUGACACCAAAUGAUAGGUUGAUGGCUCGAUUGACACAAAUAAAAUAAUAAAGGCUUAAGUGAGAAUUUUACCAUAAUUUGAGAGCUUAUUUUGUUAUUAUGCCAUUUAUAAUUUACGAGAAGCAUUCUUGUCUGAAGUAUGUUUCAUUUUAAUUGUUACUUCUAUGCUUUUCCCUUUUCUCUUUUCCUUAGCUAGCCGCAUUUCAUGUUGAUUUUUUCCGGCCCUCCCAAAAGUCAAUGUCUGUUUGAUGUUUCCAUUCCUGCAUCUAUAUGUGCUUUGGAUCUGGAUUGGUUCCAAGGACCAUGCAUGGAAGUUAGUUCUAUGCUGAUGUUACCAAAUGAAUGCUUAAUAUGUAGUAAAGAAUGAUGUUGAAAAGCAAAAGGAUCUUGUGAAGACGUAACUAGUAUCAAACAUGGUAAACUGAGCAGCACCUGCCGACACAUUGUUAGUUACGUGUUUUGUCAAGGACCUCACCCUCUAAUCAUACCCAUGGAUGAGGCAUAUCCAGGUCACUGUCUGAUUGAUCAAUUGCAGCUGGCUGCUGCUUUUUAGCUUCUCUGUGGGUGCAUGUGUUAACAAGUGUGUGCAUAUUGAUGUUAGUUUUAAAGCUGUCGAUGAUAUGCAUAAUGGAUUACAUUUAGAAAAGAAAACGGAGAGAAGGUUAUUUUUUUUAUCUAAGCAUGUUGGUUUUGAUCAUAGAUCUGGAUGCUGACUUCUGGUUUGAAUUUGUUGAAUGUGGCUUUAGUAGGAAAUGAAUGCUUAUUGCCGUAAAUCCUGAUUUCUUUAAUUGUUCUCAUACUCAUUUUGUCAAAUACAUUUGGUGCUGCAGCCUACUGUGUAGUAGCAGUUGAAUCUGCUGGCAGGCAAGUUCCAAUUGCAUUUCUGGAACGAGUCAAGGAAGACUUCAACGAGACAUAUGGUGGAGGAAAAGCUGCAACUGCUCCCCCGGAUAGCGUGAAUAGAGAAUUUGGGUAUUUAACUGUCUUUAUUUUUCUCGUAGAUUUAUUGUUCACUUCUUCGUGACAUGCUUAGCUCUUUAUACAUAAUAGGUCCAAAUUGAAGGAGCAUAUGCAGUAUUGUGUGGACCAUCCUGAAGAGAUCAGCAAACUUGCCAAAGUGAAGGCUCAAGUUUCUGAAGUCAAGGGUGUUAUGAUAGAAAACAUUGAGAAGGUAAUAGGCUGCUGCUGAUGUUGUAGCUGUUCUAGAGGUAGUUUGAGGGUUAAAACAUGAUAAGAUGCACAUCCAGCUUCUGCAAGUUGCUAGACGCGUUAUAAAAUUGAAAGCACUUCAGAUAUAUUGCAUGUGGUGUGUUGUUUUGUUAGUAACAUUUGGCUUUGGCCAGGUCCUUGAUCGUGGUGAGAAAAUUGAGUUGCUGGUGGAUAAAACGGAGAACCUUCGCUCACAGGUUAGUCAUAUUCAAACUGCAUUUUAUGGGUAACUGAAACAAUGACUUAAUUGUGUUUUGGUGAAGCCAUUGCCUUUCAAAGUUGGUUUUAAAACUUAUUAGGAUUCUGAUCAAUUUCGGUUUUCUAAUUUAAAUACCGUCUUUUAUGGUUUCUUGAUGCCUUGUAUAUUGGCGCACAGUAUGAUGCAUUUAACUUGAUAUACGUAAGAUGCAGAAUAUGAUACAUUUAAUUUGAUAUUGCAUUACAGGCGCAAGACUUUAGGCAGCAGGGAACUAAGAUGAGACGAAAGAUGUGGCUUCAGAAUAUGAAGAUAAAAUUGAUUGUUUUGGGUAUCCUUAUUGCUCGAUUCUUAUCAUUGUGCUGUCAGUCUGCCAUGGCUUUAAAUGUUAAUCUGUCCUGGAUUUCCCGGGUACAGCUCUUGCUGCCCGGGUUGUCUUGAUAGAUUGGUUUGUCUUACAUGUUUUUGAAGGGCAUAUAUUUCUCCCUUUGCUAGCCUUUUAGGAUAGGGGGAGGCUUUGUAUCUUGGUUGGCUGUAUAGGUUAUAGUUUGAACUUGUUGCGGUAGAUAAAAAUUUCUACGGAGGAUUUCUUCUUUAUAUUGUAAUGGGGGAAUACUCGGAUGCCUGCAUAAUGUUAUUAAUCUGUUUUUUUUUUUUCUCUCUCUCUUAUCAUGUAAAUCCUUUUAUAUGCUUUUCUUUAGAGGUAAGUGGACACAGUUGGUUUUGUUAAAUUUUUUAAUGCUUUGGAGCCUAUGGUUGCAUGAGUAGCUCGGUGUCUUUACCGUCCGCAUGGAAGGUCUUUAGCUCUAAUGAUUAGAGAGAUGUGUAUGAUUGAUUUUCCCCCGCUUACUUUGAAGUCUUGUUUUGAGGAUCUAUUCUUUCUCCAUAGAGAAAUUUGGGGAAUAAGUAAAGAAUGUUGAUGAGGGGUUGUUUUGUUAAAAAAAAGAAAAAAGUUUGUUAAAAAAUUAGUUUUACUAUAAAAACAAAUCGAAUUUUAUUUGACAAUUGGUUCCCUUUCGAUUUUACAUUAUUCAAAUAAAAAGAGUUAGAUUAUUUUUGCUUGAAAACGACUCAAUUUGUGUUUCUAAUGAUACAAACUAUUAAGAACAGUGUAAAUCGAGUUUGAGUAAUGGAAACUAAUGUCCAUAGAACAGAUUAUAAUAUAUAAAAAAUUGUAGCAAUGAUGUGAAGUAGAAGCACUACUGUCUUCGCGGUUUUGUACAUAAUAUGCUAAGAUUAGAUGCCACAAUUGAAAAAAUUAAGGCUUAAUACAAAUUUUAACAUUUUUGAAUUUUUUCAAUAUUAAAUAUCUAAAAACCUGAUGCCUGUUGUUGGCUGGAGCAUCCUUGUCCCAUUAUCUCUUUGACCCACCUGUUUACGUGCUUAAAAUAUAUAUAUAUAUAUAUAUAUAUUAUAUAACAAAGUAAUUUUUUGUAAUUGAUAUUUUAUAAAUAAAAAUAAAAGAUUACAGAAGUAGUUAGGUACAAUAAUUAAAUACUUUUAAUUAUAAUUAUUCUCAAUCAUAAUUUCUUAUUGCAAUCAACACCAAUUUGAAUUUUGGUUCAAAUAAGAAAGAUAAGAUGCAUUUUGAGUAGAAAUUUUAAAUUCAAAUCAUAGAGUUCAUAAAGAGAAAAAGAAAAAAUAAAAAUUUCGUAUAAUUUACAGAGAAAAUGACGUGGUUUAUUGUCAAUGGCUUGAAAUGAGUUACAUGACGUCGUUUCCUUCUUAAUGCUUAUUUCUCUCCCCUCACACGGUGUCGUUUUACCAAGCAAUAAAUGCAUCCCGUGAAACCCUGGCCUGUUUCUUUUUCUUCCUUGUCUGGCUAGGACUCUAACCGAGCCGCACCACAUCUCUUCCACGAUGGUUCCUGGGUUUCUCUCUCGACCGUCCUUUUCACUUGCCUUAGCUUGUUUUAGACGCCAACCAAACGAAAUAGCGUCUUUUCAACGCCAAAUUGCCCAACACUAUAAAAACCGUUCCCUUAUCUCACAAAUCUUAGAUCUCAGAUUUCAGAUAUCAAAUCUCGGAUCGUUUCUUACUCUCUUUGAAGAAAUUGUGUUGCGAUGGCUGAUUUUCGUCUUCAAGGUAUUUUUCAAUCUCAAUUCACAGAGAUUGCUGCUGAAAGAGCUAAAGUAGCUGCAGAGGAAUACUUCAAGUCGGGAAACAUCGACAGGGCUAUUCAGCAAGGGUUCGCAGCACUCGAUUUGAACCCCAAUUUACGGAUCGUGCAGAAGUACAUUGCCGCCUAUUUGAUUCACAAGUUUGCUUCUAUGUUAAGUCUUUGCCAGAAAAUGAAGGUAGACGAUACCAAAGUUCUGUACUCCAUUCUUUUUAUCGAAGAUUGUUCUGCCGUAGUUGAUGCUGCGACUAUUAGAAAACACUACAAGGAAGUGGUACUAUUGGUCCAUCCGGACAAGAAUGAUUCAGUUGCAGCAGAUGGUGCUUUCAAGAUCGUUCGUCAGGCUUGGGAAACUCUCUUAUCUGAUCACAACAAAAGAAGAAAGACUCGAUGAAGAUGAAGUUUUUUGGUUUGGAUUAGAUUCAUUUUGAAUGUAUUCAAAUUUUUUUAUGAAUAAUAUGUAGUUACUUUUUAUUUUGUUCUGAUUUUGUUACUUUUUUUAGAUUCAAUUUGAUUUUGAUUUUUAGUGUCAGUCCAAUUUCAUAAUUGAUCACAAUUAUGAUUAAGCAUUCCAAGUUAAAAUGCUACCAUCAUCAAUCCAUAAUAUAAUAUACAGAGUAAAUUGAAGCAAAUUAUUUGAAGAAUAUUCUGAUGUGGGUUUUUUAGGCAAUGAACUUUUUCUUUAAGAUUUUAGAUUUUUUUUUGUUUAAUUUUGUUAAAAUAAAUUGCUUUGUGUUAUAUAUUUUGUAAGUCUUUUUCGUUAGUUUGAAAUUGAAUUCUGGGUUCAAGAGGUUAUUGUAUUAAGAAACUAUGUGUUUUGCUUGCUUCAGUGUUUGUAUCGGUGCUGCAGUUAUUCACUUUCUUUCUGAUUUGAUACAAUCAAACUAAAAAAAUAAAAUUUUCACAAAAGUUACUAUAAUAUAUUUCUUUUUAUGGGUGAUAGUUUGCUGAUUAUUCAUUCUGUCAAUGUCAGUUCUUUUUUGGCUCAAGUUAAACAGGCAUUGAAAAACCAAUACUUGCUUGCAAAGAACCACAUUGAUUCUACGUGUCUUUUGAUUCUUCAAUUGUUAUCAAAUGCUUGCUCAUUUUGUCUAGAUGUUCCCAAAUGAUGUUUACUUGGGCGAUAUCAUUGAUGCUGCAAAGUCUUUCAGGUUUGUUAUUCGGUUUUUCUCACUUAGAGGUUGAAUCACAAUUUAUCAUAUGUUUAUUUUUGCAUAAGUGUGCAUGUGUAGUAGUAUAAGGCUGUUAAAGGGAAUAUAAUUUGUCAGUUUUUAUACAUAGCAAACCCUGAGUGUGAUUUCUUGGAAAAGCAAAAGUCCAAUAAUGGACUAUACACGUUCCUCUUUUAUCAUUACUCAUAUCUUAGCCUAAAUUACUCUUGUUGUUUCUGUGCUAAAAGUAAUGCUGCUAAUAUCUAGUUCUGGCCAACUUUUGCUGAGCUGUUUGCAAUAAUUGUUGUAUACACAUUUAUGUAAAGGUACAUUUUUUCUUGGUCCUUAAUUCAUGUACCAUGUAGUUCUCUCCUGAAUCAUUUUUUUGUCCCAUUUGUAAAUGUUAGGCUAUGAUUUGAAUUGCCUUGUUAAGGAAGCAUUAUCUAUUGAAAUGUUGCUGGCAGCUAUCCUCUAACUUAAGGGUGCAGGAGACACGGUCUUCAUUGGAGUGGUUUGUGGGAAAAGUACAAGACAUGAUUACCUAAAUACUUUGAGACGAUCUAUAGUGAAGAGUACAAAUAAAUCAAGGUGAUAGGUUUAAAGAAGCUGAUCAGUUUUGCACUUCAUUGCCUUUGUCAUAUAAAAGUUUUAAUCUCUAUUCACCCACCAAAAAGGAGGAAUAGGAAAGAAAAUUGCAAAAGUGGAAGCUUUUUUACAUUUGCAUAAUGCCUGAUGCACGCAUACGUUUAAGCACUUAGAGAGAGAUGAGACAAUGGUAGCUCACUUGGUGGGGGAAUUGAUGCAUUCAUAAAGCUGUCUCAAAGUUAGCUGCUAUUAAAAUCUCUAUUCAAUGUUCUAUAUACUUACUAAAAUUUGAAGUCUAUGUUCCAAAUUCUGAGGAAAUCAUUGGUAGAGAUAUCACCUGGAUCGGAUCCUGGUACAAAUACAUCUCAACACCUGUGGAGAAAUGUUAGUUAUGUUUCUGUUAGUAGCUUUUGUACUAGUGUAAUUUUCAUUACAUAAAUCAGUCAUGUAGGGUGCCUAGUGAUUUGAUUAUGAUAAUUGAUUUCCACGGUAAGAUGUACAAGUUUGGGUACUCCAGGACCAGAUCUCCAUUGCAGUGAUGUGCAAAGUUCAAGGAAAACUUUGUCAAGGGUCAUAAAUAUUGUGAAAGGGUUAACUCUAGCAUUUGUUUUUAAUUUACACUAGAUCUUCUGUCUGCUCGUGAGUAACGGGUUUUGCUUGUUUUCAUGACUUUUUCUUUAAAUUUAUCAUCACUAUUCACCAUGAUAUAGAUGAAUGAUAAUUAAAGAUAUAUUAAAAGAUAAUGACAAGAAAAUAUUGAGUUGUUCAGCUUUAAUUAUUUGGCACAGGCAAUGAGUCAAUGAGGGCAAAUGCUAUUGGCAGUUGUGUUGUGCUCAACCAUGGAGGAGGUUGCGCGGUAGACAAGAUGCUCAUGGAGUUUGCUUCACUGUCAAUAAUCCCUAUGAUACUUCUAUUUGUUGUUAUCCUCAUUAAUUCAUUUUUAAUUUUAUUAUUAUUUAUCUUUUUAAAAAUUGAUUUUACUAGAAUUCUGAUCAAUUUUGCUUUUCUAAUUUAAAUACUGUCUUUUAUGGUUUCUUUAUGCCUUGUAUAUUGGUGCACAAUAUGAUGCAUUUAACUUGAUAUACAUAAGAUGCACAAUAUGAUACAUUUAAUUUGAUAUUGCAUUACAGGUACAAGACUUUAGGCAGCAGGGAACUAAGAUGAGAAGAAAGAUGUGGCUUCAGAAUAUGAAGAUAAAAUUGAUUGUUUUGGGUAUCCUUAUUGCCCUGAUUCUUAUCAUUGUGCUGUCAGUCUGCCAUGGCUUCAAAUGUUAAUCUGUCUUGGAUUUCCCUUGUACCGCUCUUGCUGCCUGGGUUGUCUUGAUAGAUUGGUUUGUCUUACUUGUUUUUUUAGGGCAUAUAUUUCUCCCUUUGCUAGCCUUUUAGGAUAGGGGGAGGCUUUGUAUCUUGGUUGGCUGUAUAGGUUAUAGUUUGAACUUGUUACGGUAGAUAAAAAUUUCUAUGGAGGAUUUCUUCUUUAUAUUGUAAUGGGGGAUUACUCGGAUGCCUGCAUAUCAUAUUUGUCCUUUUGAAAUGUUAUUAAUCUGUUUUUUUGUUUUUCUCGCUUAUCAUGCAAAUCCUUUUAUAUGCAUUUCUCUUUUAGAGGUAAGAGGACAAGGUUGGUUCUGUAAAAAUUUUUAAUGCUUAGGAGACUACGGUUGCAUGAGUAGCUCAGUGUCUUCGCCUUCCGCAGGGAAGGUCUUUAGCUCUAAUGAUUAAAGCGAUGUGUAUGAUUGAUUUUCUCCCACUACCUUUGAAGUCUUGUUUUGAGGAUCUAUUCUUUCUACGGAGAGAAAUUUGGGGAAUAAGUAAGGGAUGUUGACGAAUGGUUGUUUUGUCAAAAAAAAAAAAAAAUGGUUUGUUAAAACACUAGUUUGACAACGAAACAAAUUGAAUUUUAUUUGGUAGUCGGUUCGAUUUUUCUUUAUUAAAAUCAAAGGCGUUAGUAUAUUUUUGCUUGAAAACGAUUUAAUUUGAGUUUUUAAUCGUAAAUCGAGUUUGAGUAAUGGAAACUAAUGUCCACAAGAAUAUAUUAUAAUAUAUGAAAAAUUGUAGCUAUGAUGUGAAGCAAAAGUACUAUUGUGCUCAUGAUUUUGUAUAUAAUAUGUUGAGAUUAGGUCCUACUAUUAGAAAAAUUAAAAUUUAAUUCAAAUUUUAACAUCUUGAAAUUCGUUCAAUAUUAAAUACUUAAAAACUUAAUGCCCGCUGUUAACUGAAUCAUCUUUGUAUCAUUAUCCUCUCUAAUCUUUUUUUUUUUGCUUAAAAUAUAUAUAUAUAUUAUAUAACAAAAGAUUUUUAAUAGUUGGUAUUUUAUGAAUGAAAACAAAAGACUACAAAGUAGUCUGUUAUAACAAUUAAAUACCUUUAAUUAUAAUUAUUCUCUAUCAUAGUUUCUUAUUGCAAUUAAUACCAAAUUGAAUUUUGAUUCAAGUAAGAAAGAUAAGAUGCGUUUUGAGUAGAAAUUUUAAAUUCAAAUUAUAGAGUUCAUCACGAGAAAGAGAAACAAUAAAAUUUCGUAUAAUUUACAAAAAAAAUGACGUCGUUUAUUAUUAAUCACUUGAAAUGAAUGGCAUGACGACGUUUCCUUCUUAAUGCUUAUUUCUCUCCUGCUACACGGUGUCGUUUUACCAAGUAAUAAAAGCAUCCCUUGAAACCCUAGCCUCUUUCUUUUUCUCCGCUGGUCUCGGUAAGACUCUAACCGAGCCGCACCACCUCUCUUCCACGAUGGUUCCUGGGUUUCUCUCCCGGCCCUCCUUUCUCGAGCCGCAACUCCUGAUCACUUGCCUUCGCUUGUUUUAGACGCCAAGCAAACAAGAUAGCUUUUUUCCAACGCCAAAUUGCCCAACAAUAUAAAAACCCUCCCUUUACUCACAAAAUCUUAGAUCUCAGAUUUCAGAUAUCAAAUCUCAGAUCGUUUCUUACUCUCUUUGAAGAAAUUGUGUUGCGAUGGCUGAUUUUCGUCUUCAAGGUAUUUGUCAAUCUCAAUUCACAGAGAUUGCUGCUGAAAGAGCUAAAGUAGCUGCAGAGGAAUACUUCAAGUCGGGAAACAUCGACAGGGCUAUUCAGCAAGGGUUCGCAGCACUCGAUUUGAACCCCAAUUUACGGAUCGUGCAGAAGUACAUUGCCGCCUAUUUGAUUCACAAGUUUGCUUCUAUGUUAAGUCUUUGCCAGAAAAUGAAGGUCGACGAUACUAAGGUUCUGUACUCCAUUCUUUUUAUCGAAGAUUGUUCUGCCGUAGUUGAUGCUGCGACUAUUAGAAAACACUACAAAGAAGUGGUACUAUUGGUCCAUCCGGACAAGAAUGAUUCAGUUGCAGCAGAUGGUGCUUUCAAGAUCGUUCGUCAGGCUUGGGAAACUCUCUUAUCUGAUCGCAACAAAAGAAGAAAGACUCGAUGAAGAUGAAGUUUUUU
Molecule: long non-coding RNA, 17829 nt
Filed under: Theobroma cacao (cacao)
Lineage: Eukaryota; Viridiplantae; Streptophyta; Magnoliopsida; Malvales; Malvaceae
Description: long non-coding RNA (TCAC_LNC002723)
Source: RNAcentral